Molecule: long non-coding RNA, 1205 nt
Filed under: Linum usitatissimum (flax)
Lineage: Eukaryota; Viridiplantae; Streptophyta; Magnoliopsida; Malpighiales; Linaceae
Description: long non-coding RNA (LUSI_LNC004994)
Source: RNAcentral
AACUCACGACCAAGCUUCACUAUCAAUUCCUCUGGUUUGGACUCACUCUGCCACUCUCACGUUACGCUCACCCCAGAGUUCUUCUCGUCCUUUCUCUUGCUCAAAUACUCUCUUUCUCUUGAGGUAUAAAUCUUCGCGUCAAUUAGGUACUUAGGUUCGAUUUGGCUUGGAUUUUCCUUCAAGACCCUCGUCAUGAAAUCAUCCUUUUCGGUAGCCCCGCCGGGCUGCGAAUUGGAGGAGGAGCUGGAAUUCACCUUGCACAGAGCUGUGAAUGAUCUGUGCAGCAAAGGACGCGCCCUCUGGUGGAAGUUCCGAUUGCAUUUGAAGGAAUUCUUGUAGGGUUUAGGGAGAUGAACCCUAGAAGUGAAGAGAGUGUCAAUGCUGGUCAUUGUUUCAGUGCAUGAGUCUUGUUGGUUUCAAGAUUGUAAUUCCUUAGUUUUAUGUUGAUAUCCCACAGGCUCUCAUACCGCAGAACUAUUGAUCAAGAUGUUACUGCAUAUACUUAGUAAGCUGCCUCAAGAUUUCAGAACAAGCAACCAUCUUUCAGACCUUGCAGAACAAGCAACCGUCUUUCAGACCUUGCAACUGUGGUGAGUUUAGUACCUUAAAAGCAGUAUGAUGCAGAUACCAUUUUUCAAUAAGUUUCAUGAAAACAAACUGAUGAGUAACCUCCAACAUUGUGAUUCUAAAUCUGAAUGUAUUUUGCCGUAACUUGGUGAAUUACACCUUCCCGAGAAUUACGCAUUUAAAUCAUUAACUUCUAAUAUCUCUCGUGAAUUUAUCUUCUCUUGUAGGUGGAAUAUUUGGGAAGACAGUUUGGUUUAUUGCAGAGUCCCUUGAAAUUUGAUGCACUUCAUUUCCUCUCUCAGAUCUUCUCAUCGAAGUAUUCGGUAAAACACUUCUUCGAAAUGCGUUCCUUUGUUGAAAAGUGUAAAUUCUGCUGGAGUACUUUGAUGUGCUUUUUGUAUUGAGUUUAUGAUUAUUACUUUCAUUGUGAGGACCAUCUGACGAGAUGGUGUAGCUUAGACAUUCAGCUGGCAUAAAAAAUAAUGAAAAUUAUUAGAACUUAGAUAUAAACGCAGGACAAGGAAAGCCAAAAAAACUGUCACUUUCUUCGAACAAGUAGCAAGCUGGUAAGCAGUUACUGGUAACUUUCUUCGAACACAAGUAGCAAGCUGGUAAGCAGUUACUGGUAGGUUUAGAAA